CCUACGGGUGGCUGCAGUGAGGAAUAUUGGUCAAUGGGCGGGAGCCUGAACCAGCCAAGUCGCGUGAGGGAAGAAGGUACUGAGUAUUGUAAACCUCUUUUGCCAGGGGACAAAGGCGGCCACGGGUGGCCGUAAGAGGGUACCUGGGGAAAAAGCAUCGGCUAACUCCGUGCCAGCAGCCGCGGUAAUACGGAGGAUGCGAGCGUUAUCCGGAUUUAUUGGGUUUAAGGGGUGCGCAGGCGGCGUGUCAAGUCAGCGGUAAAAUGUCGGGGCUAAACCCCGGCCGGCCGUUGAAACUGGCAAACUGGAGUGUGUGAGAGGAUAGUGGAAUUCCAGGUGUAGGAGUGAAAUCCGUAGAUAUCUGGAGGAACAUCAGUGGCGAAGGCGACUAUCUGGCACAUAACUGACGCUGAGGAGCGAAAGCGUGGGUAGCAAACAGGAUUAGAUACCCUUGUAGUC
RNAcentral lists this ribosomal RNA (459 nucleotides) under uncultured bacterium. RNAcentral describes it as "partial 16S ribosomal RNA". It matches the Rfam family "Bacterial small subunit ribosomal RNA", at positions 338 to 795 of the family's 1533-position model. The record is from RNAcentral.